RNAcentral lists this ribosomal RNA (502 nucleotides) under uncultured bacterium. Its description in RNAcentral is "bacterial SSU rRNA". It matches the Rfam family "Bacterial small subunit ribosomal RNA", at positions 791 to 1301 of the family's 1533-position model. The record is from RNAcentral.
UAGUCCACGCCCUAAACGAUGCUAACUCGAUGUUUGUAUUUAUAUGAGCAUCCAAGGGAAACCGUUAAGUUAGCCACCUGGGGAGUACGUUCGCAAGAAUGAAACUCAAAGGAAUUGACGGGGGUCCGCACAAGCGGUGGAGCACGUGGUUUAAUUCGAUGAUACGCGAGGAACCUUACCUGGGCUCUAAUGCGUGCGCUAUCCUGUGAAAGCAGGAGUUCCUUCGGGACGCAAAGCAAGGUGCUGCAUGGUUGUCGUCAGCUCGUGCCGUGAGAUGUUGGGUUAAGUCCCGCAACGAGCGCAACCCUUGUCUUUAGUUGCCAUCAUUCAGUUGGGCACUCUAAAGAGACUGCCGGUGACAAACCGGAGGAAGGUAAGGAUGACGUCAAGUCAGCAUGCCCCUUACGCCCUGGGCUACACACGUGCUACAAUGGUCGUGACAAAGGGUCGCUAAUCUGCAAAGACAUGCUAAUCUCAUAAACACGGCCUCAGUUCGGAUUGC